Molecule: transfer RNA, 76 nt
Filed under: Acidithiobacillus ferrooxidans
Lineage: Bacteria; Pseudomonadati; Pseudomonadota; Acidithiobacillia; Acidithiobacillales; Acidithiobacillaceae
Also listed under: 60 other names
Description: tRNA-Phe
Rfam family: tRNA
About the family: Transfer RNA (tRNA) molecules are approximately 80 nucleotides in length. Their secondary structure includes four short double-helical elements and three loops (D, anti-codon, and T loops).
Source: RNAcentral
GCCCAGGUAGCUCAGUCGGUAGAGCAGAGGACUGAAAAUCCUCGUGUCGGUGGUUCGAUUCCGCCCCUGGGCACCA